UAGCUUGCUACUUUGCUGACGAGCGGCGGACGGGUGAGUAAUGCUUGGGAACAUGCCUUGAGGUGGGGGACAACAGUUGGAAACGACUGCUAAUACCGCAUAAUGUCUACGGACCAAAGGGGGCUUCGGCUCUCGCCUUUAGAUUGGCCCAAGUGGGAUUAGCUAGUUGGUGAGGUAAUGGCUCACCAAGGCGACGAUCCCUAGCUGGUUUGAGAGGAUGAUCAGCCACACUGGGACUGAGACACGGCCCAGACUCCUACGGGAGGCAGCAGUGGGGAAUAUUGCACAAUGGGCGCAAGCCUGAUGCAGCCAUGCCGCGUGUGUGAAGAAGGCCUUCGGGUUGUAAAGCACUUUCAGUCAGGAGGAAAGGUUAGUAGUUAAUACCUGCUAGCUGUGACGUUACUGACAGAAGAAGCACCGGCUAACUCCGUGCCAGCAGCCGCGGUAAUACGGAGGGUGCGAGCGUUAAUCGGAAUUACUGGGCGUAAAGCGUACGCAGGCGGUUUGUUAAGCGAGAUGUGAAAGCCCCGGGCUCAACCU
Molecule: ribosomal RNA, 540 nt
Filed under: uncultured Pseudoalteromonas sp.
Lineage: Bacteria; Pseudomonadati; Pseudomonadota; Gammaproteobacteria; Alteromonadales; Pseudoalteromonadaceae
Description: bacterial SSU rRNA
Rfam family: Bacterial small subunit ribosomal RNA
Source: RNAcentral